AAAGGCGUAGUCGAUGGGAAACAGGUUAAUAUUCCUGUACUUGGUGUUACUGCGAAGGGGGGACGGAGAAGGCUAUGUUAGCCGGGCGACGGUUGUCCCGGUUUAAGCAUGUAGGCGGAGAUUCCAGGUAAAUCCGGAGUCUUGUUAACGCUGAGGUGUGAUGACGAGGCACUACGGUGCUGAAGUAACAAAUGCCCUGCUUCCAGGAAAAGCCUCUAAGCAUCAGGUAACACGAAAUCGUACCCCAAACCGACACAGGUGGUCAGGUAGAGAAUACCAAGGCGCUUGAGAGAACUCGGGUGAAGGAACUAGGCAAAAUGGUGCCGUAACUUCGGGAGAAGGCACGCUGAUAUGUAGGUGAAGUGAUUUACUCAUGGAGCUGAAAUCAGUCGAAGAUACCAGCUGGCUGCAACUGUUUAUUAAAAACACAGCACUGUGCAAACACGAAAGUGGACGUAUACGGUGUGACGCCUGCCCGGUGCCGGAAGGUUAAUUGAUGGGGUUAUCCGUAAGGAGAAGCUCUUGAUCGAAGCCCCGGUAAACGGCGGCCGUAACUAUAACGGUCCUAAGGUAGCGAAAUUCCUUGUCGGGUAAGUUCCGACCUGCACGAAUGGCGUAAUGAUGGCCAGGCUGUCUCCACCCGAGACUCAGUGAAAUUGAACUCGCUGUGAAGAUGCAGUGUACCCGCGGCAAGACGGAAAGACCCCGUGAACCUUUACUAUAGCUUGACACUGAACACUGGUCCUUGAUGUGUAGGAUAGGUGGGAGGCUUUGAAGUGUGGACGCCAGUCUGCAUGGAGCCAACCUUGAAAUACCACCCUUUAAUGGCUGGUGUUCUAACGUAGACCCGUAAUCCGGGUUGCGGACAGUGUCUGGUGGGUAGUUUGACUGGGGCGGUCUCCUCCUAAAGAGUAACGGAGGAGCACGAAGGUUAGCUAAUCCUGGUCGGACAUCAGGAGGUUAGUGCAAAGGCAUAAGCUAGCUUGACUGCGAGAGUGACGGCUCGAGCAGGUGCGAAAGCAGGUCUUAGUGAUCCGGUGGUUCUGAAUGGAAGGGCCAUCGCUCAACGGAUAAAAGGUACUCCGGGGAUAACAGGCUGAUACCGCCCAAGAGUUCAUAUCGACGGCGGUGUUUGGCACCUCGAUGUCGGCUCAUCACAUCCUGGGGCUGAAGUAGGUCCCAAGGGUAUGGCUGUUCGCCAUUUAAAGUGGUACGCGAGCUGGGUUUAGAACGUCGUGAGACAGUUCGGUCCCUAUCUGCCGUGGGCGCUGGAGAAUUGAGGGGGGCUGCUCCUAGUACGAGAGGACCGGAGUGGACGCAUCACUGGUGUUCGGGUUGUCAUGCCAAUGGCAUUGCCCGGUAGCUAAAUGCGGAAGAGAUAAGUGCUGAAAGCAUCUAAGCACGAAACUUGCCCCGAGAUGAGUUCUCCCUGACCCUUUAAGGGUCCUGAAGGAACGUUGAAGACGACGACGUUGAUAGGUCGGGUGUGUAAGCGUAGCGAUACGUUGAGCUAACCGAUACUAAUGAACCGUGAGGCUUAACCUU
RNAcentral lists this ribosomal RNA (1545 nucleotides) under Citrobacter sp. KTE151. RNAcentral's name for it is "bacterial LSU rRNA". It matches the Rfam family "Bacterial large subunit ribosomal RNA", at positions 1405 to 2925 of the family's 2925-position model. The record is from RNAcentral. Lineage: Bacteria; Pseudomonadati; Pseudomonadota; Gammaproteobacteria; Enterobacterales; Enterobacteriaceae.